This 253-nucleotide ribosomal RNA is filed under the name uncultured bacterium. RNAcentral describes it as "partial 16S ribosomal RNA". It matches the Rfam family "Bacterial small subunit ribosomal RNA", at positions 524 to 776 of the family's 1533-position model. The record is from RNAcentral.
UACGUAGGUGGCAAGCGUUGUCCGGAUUUACUGGGCGUAAAGAGCGCGCAGGCGGUCGACCAAGUCGCGUGUGAAAGCCCCCGGCUCAACUGGGGAGGGUCACGCGAUACUGAUCGACUCGAAGGCAGGAGAGGGUAGUGGAAUUCCCGGUGUAGUGGUGAAAUGCGUAGAUAUCAGGAGGAACACCUGCGGUGUAGACGGCUUACUGGACGGUAACUGACGCUGAGGCACGAAAGCGUGGGUAGCAAACAGG